CCUACGGGAGGCAGCAGUGGGGAAUCUUGGGCAAUGGGCGCAAGCCUGACCCAGCAACGCCGCGUGAAGGAAGAAGGCCCUCGGGUUGUAAACUUCUUUUAUCAGGGACGAAACAAAUGACGGUACCCUAUGAAUAAGCCACGGCUAACUACGUGCCAGCAGACGCGGUAAUACGUAGGUGGCAAGCGUUAUCCGGAUUUACUGGGUGUAAAGGGCGUGUAGGCGGGUCUGCAAGUCAGAUGUGAAAUCUCAUGGCUCAACCUUGGAACUGCAUUUGAAACUGGAGAACUUGAGUGAUGGAGAGGCAGGCGGAAUGCCGGGUGUAGCGGUGAAAUGCGUAGAGAUACGGAGGAACACCAGUGGCGAAGGCGGCCUGCUGGACAGUAACUGACGCUGAGGCGCGAAAGCGUGGGGAGCAAACAGGAUUAGAUACCCGUGUAGUC
Molecule: ribosomal RNA, 443 nt
Filed under: uncultured bacterium
Lineage: Bacteria
Description: partial 16S ribosomal RNA
Rfam family: Bacterial small subunit ribosomal RNA
Source: RNAcentral